This 462-nucleotide ribosomal RNA is filed under the name Purpuradusta gracilis notata. RNAcentral describes it as "partial 16S large subunit ribosomal RNA". It matches the Rfam family "Bacterial large subunit ribosomal RNA", at positions 1850 to 2577 of the family's 2925-position model. Lineage: Eukaryota; Metazoa; Mollusca; Gastropoda; Littorinimorpha; Cypraeidae. The record is from RNAcentral.
GAGUCGGACCUGCCCGGUGAAUAUAUUUUAACGGCCGCGGUACUCUGACCGUGCAAAGGUAGCAUAAUCAUUUGCCUUAUAAUUGAAGGCUAGUAUGAAUGGUUUGACGUGAACAAAGCUGUCUCUAUAUAAUUUUUUAGAACUUGAUUUCUAGGUGAAGAAACCUAGAUAGUAUUGAAAGACAAGAAGACCCUAUUGAGCUUUAAAAAAAUAAAUUGAAGAAAUAUAUAAUUUUAGAUAUUGAUCUAUUUUAAAUUUUGGUUGGGGCGACUAUAGAACAAACAAAGCUUCUUUAUAUUAAUAAAACUAACAAGUGUUGAUCCAAAAAUUUUGAUUAAUGAAAUUAGUUACCAUAGGGAUAACAGCAUAAUCCUCUUUGAGAGCUCUUAUCGAAAAGAGGGUUUGUGACCUCGAUGUUGGAUUAGAAUAUCCUGAAGAUGCAGCAGUCUUUAAGGGUUGGUC